RNAcentral lists this non-coding RNA (120 nucleotides) under Mycobacterium sp. RNAcentral describes it as "SAM-IV sequence". It matches the Rfam family "SAM (S-adenosyl methionine) riboswitch aptamer". Rfam says of the family: SAM-IV is a mRNA element that regulates gene expression via direct sensing of S-adenosylmethionine (SAM or AdoMet). RNAcentral also lists the same sequence under 1 other name. The record is from RNAcentral. Lineage: Bacteria; Bacillati; Actinomycetota; Actinomycetes; Mycobacteriales; Mycobacteriaceae.
GGUCAUGAGCGCCAGCGUCAAGCCCCGGCUUGCUGGCCGGCAACCCUCCAACCGCGGUGGGGUGCCCCGGGUGAUGACCAGGUUGAGUAGCCGCCACCGGCUACGCGGCAAGCGCGGGUC